Molecule: ribosomal RNA, 464 nt
Filed under: uncultured bacterium
Lineage: Bacteria
Description: partial 16S ribosomal RNA
Rfam family: Bacterial small subunit ribosomal RNA
Source: RNAcentral
CCUACGGGAGGCAGCAGUGGGGAAUCUUCCGCAAUGGGCGAAAGCCUGACGGAGCAACGCCGCGUGAUCGAAUGAAGGCCUUCGGGUUGUAAAGGUCUGUUGACAGGGACGAAUAAGCAAUGCAAAUAGUUUUGUGUAUGACGGUACCUGUUUAGAAAGCUCCGGCUAACUACGUGCCAGGAGCCGCGGGAAUACGUAGGGAGCAAGCGUUGUCCGGAAUUACUUGACGUAAAGGGCGCGUAGGGGGGAGUUUAAGGCCAGUGUGAAAACUCCGGGCUCAACCUGGAGACUGCACUUGAAACUGGGUGUCUUGAGGGCAGGAGAGGAAAGUGGAAUUCCUGGUGUAGCGGUGAAAUGCGUAGAUAUUAGGAGGAACACCAGUGGCGAAGGCGACUUUCUGGACUGUACCUGACGCUGAGGCGCGAAAGCGUGGGUAGCGAACGGGAUUAGAUACCCUAGUAGUC